RNAcentral lists this ribosomal RNA (495 nucleotides) under uncultured bacterium. RNAcentral's name for it is "partial 16S ribosomal RNA". It matches the Rfam family "Bacterial small subunit ribosomal RNA", at positions 28 to 507 of the family's 1533-position model. The record is from RNAcentral.
GACGAACGCUGGCGGCGUGCCUAAUACAUGCAAGUAGAACGCUGAAGGAGGAGCUUGCUUCUCUGGAUGAGUUGCGAACGGGUGAGUAACGCGUAGGUAACCUGCCUGGUAGCGGGGGAUAACUAUUGGAAACGAUAGCUAAUACCGCAUAAUAGUAGAUGUUGCAUGACAUUUGCUUAAAAGGUGCAAUUGCAUCACUACCAGAUGGACCUGCGUUGUAUUAGCUAGUUGGUGAGGUAACGGCUCACCAAGGCAACGAUACAGAGCCGACCUGAGAGGGGGAUCAGCCACACUGGGACUGAGACACGGCCCAGACUCCCACGGGAGGCAGCAGUAGGGAAACUUCGGCAAUGGACGGAAGUCUGACCGAGCAACGCCGCGUGAGUGAAGAAGGUUUUCGGAUCGUAAAGCUCUGUUGUAAGAGAAGAACGAGUGUGAGAGUGGAAAGUUCACACUGUGACGGUAUCUUACCAGAAAGGGACGGCUAACUACGUG